Molecule: long non-coding RNA, 966 nt
Filed under: Dromaius novaehollandiae (emu)
Lineage: Eukaryota; Metazoa; Chordata; Aves; Casuariiformes; Dromaiidae
Description: lncRNA (ENSDNVG00000014749.1)
Source: RNAcentral
AACUGCAGUGAGAAGGGGUUUGUUUGUUUYCUUUUUAAAUGUUAUCCUUCCUUCCUCCUCCUCCUUUUUAAUGAAGAUGUAUUUAUACAAAAACUCACCCCGUGUUGAGCAUGGCACAUGGACAGGUUGGCCACUUUGGACUACUUUUGCAACAAUGGAUUCUGCUGGACUGAUAUUGAAACCAUGGGACAGACCUCAGGSAGCUGUUUGGCAGCACUUCCUCACUUAAGCUGACGAGUUAACUGCCUUUGCAAGAAGGGUGUUGGAGGAUUCUUCCAGGGGAUGCUUGAGAGCAGAAACCCACUACGAGGACUCCCUUCCUCUCUGUGCCAGCGUCUCAUCCCACAGCGUACAGGGAGAACGCAGAAGCUACCAGGGGUAUUUUCGGCAUUGCUCGUCUGACUUUGGAAUACAAGGAGUGUCGGCUCUGGUGUCUGCUGGCUUCAGCGAGGGCUGGUGGGCGUCCGGGCAGCCCGUUACUGUCUGGGUUCCAGACRGUCAUGAAGAUCCUGGGUAUGACCUGUGGAUGCUGUCACUGAAAAAGGGAAAACUUGGGGAGCUUUUGAAGAGCUUCCUGAUUAUAACUAAAGCUCAACCCAGAUCCUGGAGAGACCCGAGCAUCCUUGCUUGCGCGCUCUAUCGAAUUUGCUCUGCAGAAGUUCAAGGUUUAAAGGCUUAUGUGAGAGACCUGCGUGGGGACUCUGCCUUCUGCUCCCGGCUCUGCCGCUGCUUCAGCCGAAUGGUCUUGAGUAAGUGAUUUUAUUUCCCUGUACAUGAGUUUCUCAGUUUCUAAAAUAGCAAUAAUAAUGUUUUGUCUCCCUGGUCAAGUGUUUUGUUCUCAAUGGAUGGAAAGUACUAUGUUGUAAGGUCCAUAUGUUAUUGUUGUCGUUACCAUCAUUCUUCUUCAAGAGUAAAUGCUGAGGUUCUGAGUAGUAAAUAUGGAAUACCUGGACUCAAGGUUUUUGG